Molecule: ribosomal RNA, 497 nt
Filed under: uncultured bacterium
Lineage: Bacteria
Description: partial 16S ribosomal RNA
Rfam family: Bacterial small subunit ribosomal RNA
Source: RNAcentral
GAUGAACGCUGGCGGCGUGCCUAAUACAUGCAAGUCGAGCGAACGGACGAGAAGCUUGCUUCUCUGAUGUUAGCGGCGGACGGGUGAGUAACACGUGGAUAACCUACCUAUAAGACUGGGAUAACUUCGGGAAACCGUAGCUAAUACCGGAUAAUAUUUUGAACCGCAUGGUUCAAAAGUGAAAGACGGUCUUGCUGUCACUUAUUGAUGGAUCCGCGCUGCACUAGCUAGUUGGUAAGGUAACGGCAUACCAAGGCAACGAUGCAUAGCCGACCUGAGAGGGUGAUCGGCCACACUGGAACUGAGACACGGUCCAGACUCCUACGGGAGGCAGCAGUAGGGAAUCUUCCGCAAUGGGCGAAAGCCUGACGGAGCAACGCCGCGUGAGUGAUGAAGGUCUUCGGAUCGUAAAACUCUGUUAUUAGGGAAGAACAUAUGUGUAAGUAACUGUGCACAUCUUGACGGUACCUAAUCAGAAAGCCACGGCUAACUACGUG